CAAGCAGUAAUCUACAUAAGACCACUACAGAAAAGUAUCCCUUUGGAAAAUAGUUCCUGCACCCUCCAGCAACAAGGGCCACUCACAAAAUGUCUGAGCUGUGACACAGACAUUCCCUUAAAUAAAAUGAAAAACCACAUCAGCAAAUGCACAAGAGUGGAAAUGUGAAGCUGAUGGAACCAGAGCUGCAUGGCUCUACAAGUCUAAAUUACUUGCACAGCAUGAGACCAGAAAGGCUGUUGUCCUGCGAAUGGAUUUGAGGGAAAGUAUAAUGGAUCAAGAGAGAUCACUUAUCUCCUUUUACAAAGAGCCAAAGGUCGAGUGGGCAAGCCCUGUCUGCUGCAAACUGGAAGGAGAUGCAGCUGUCGGGGAAGGGGUGAAGAGAUUCUUCUUCUCAAAGAUGAUUUCUCUAGUACAGUUUGGUUUUCAUUUGAACUUUGGUAUGUGAUUUACAAUGACGAGAGAAAGU
Long non-coding RNA from Melanotaenia boesemani (Boeseman's rainbowfish), 469 nucleotides. RefSeq lists it as uncharacterized. Lineage: Eukaryota; Metazoa; Chordata; Actinopteri; Atheriniformes; Melanotaeniidae. The record is from RefSeq and is a predicted model, not a curated record. The transcript is spliced from 4 exons.